AGGAGAGCGAGCGAGAGAGAAAAGGUGAGCGAGCGAGAGAGAAAAGGAGAGCGAGCGAGAGAGAAAAGGUGAGCGAGAGAGAGAGAAAAGGAGAGCGAGAGAGAGAGAAAAGGUGAGCGAGAGAGAGAGAAAAGGAGAGCGAGAGAGAGAGAAAAGGUGAGCGAGAGAGAGAAAAGGAGAGCGAGAGAGAGAGAAAAGGUGAGCGAGAGAGAGAGAAAAGGUGAGCGAGAGAGAGAGAAAAGGUGAGCGAGAGAGAGAGAAAAGGAGAGCGAGAGAGAGGCGAGAAAAAAUAAAGAGUCAGUCAACAAUGAGAGGAACAACAAACCAACUGUUCACCAGUCACCCAACAGCUAUGAACAUUCCCACACACACG
Molecule: long non-coding RNA, 373 nt
Organism: Oncorhynchus keta (chum salmon)
Lineage: Eukaryota; Metazoa; Chordata; Actinopteri; Salmoniformes; Salmonidae
Exons: 3
Source: RefSeq, a predicted model, not a curated record